GACCCUCCAGAAUAUCUAGAAAAACUCAGAUCACAGAUCAAACAUUCGAAUCUUGCAAUUUGCAAAGGUCCAGUGUGCUACACAUACAAAACUACAACCAGUAGUAUAGAGCUGCUAACAGAACGAUAAACAUAUAUAAAUAAACAUCGGGUUCACUAUACAUACAGUCUCCAGAUACAGUAUCACUCGCUCCAGCGAGGAUCAAGCAUCAGUAUGUACAUGACCCAAAAACCCAAAACUAUCUGUAGCUGGUACUUCU
Molecule: long non-coding RNA, 259 nt
Filed under: Ananas comosus (pineapple)
Lineage: Eukaryota; Viridiplantae; Streptophyta; Magnoliopsida; Poales; Bromeliaceae
Description: long non-coding RNA (ACOM_LNC035513)
Source: RNAcentral